AUUUUUUUCUCAACCUGACUUCCAAGUAUAAAUCUGAGAAGUGGAUUCAGUCAUGACUCAAAAUUCCAUAUGUCUGUUUUUUGAAAUUUGUUGAGAUUACUUGUGAGCUAGUACAUGAUCAAUGUGUACUUGAAAAGAAUAUGUUUUAUCUUGUGUGUAUGAUUUUUAUGAUUUAUCUUUAGAUCAAUAUUAUUGACCUACAGCCAGUCCAGAUAUAACAUAAAGCAGAAAAAUUAUAAAAUUCCACAUUAUCAAGAGUAAACAGGAAAGUUAAGACUGUGGGGCUAGACAAAAUUUGUUUCAGAUUUCAGAGGA
RNAcentral lists this long non-coding RNA (315 nucleotides) under Homo sapiens (human). RNAcentral's name for it is "non-protein coding lnc-FKBP1C-11:1". Lineage: Eukaryota; Metazoa; Chordata; Mammalia; Primates; Hominidae. The record is from RNAcentral.